RNAcentral lists this ribosomal RNA (407 nucleotides) under uncultured bacterium. Its description in RNAcentral is "partial 16S ribosomal RNA". It matches the Rfam family "Bacterial small subunit ribosomal RNA", at positions 30 to 526 of the family's 1533-position model. The record is from RNAcentral.
AUUGAACGCUGGCGGCAGGCCUAACACAUGCAAGUCGAGCGGAGCGGCGGACGGGUGAGUAAUGCCUAGGAAUCUGCCUGGUAGUGGGGGAUAACUUCGGGAAACGGGCGCUAAUACCGCAUACUAUAAGAUGACCCUCGGGCGGAUUAGCUAGUUGGUGGGGCAAAGGCUUACCAAGUCGACGAUCCGUAACUGGUCUGAGAGGAUGAUCAGUCACACUGGAACUGAGACACGGUCCAGACUCCUACGGGAGGCAGCAGUGGGGAAUCUUGGGCAAUGGGCGAAAGCCUGAUCCAGCCACGCCGCGUGUGUGAAGAAGGUCUUCGGAUUGUAAAGCACUGUAAGUUGGGAGGCGUUACCAACAGAAUAAGCACCGGCUAACUUCGUGCCAGCAGCCGCGGUAAUUC